RNAcentral lists this ribosomal RNA (460 nucleotides) under Stenotrophomonas maltophilia. Its description in RNAcentral is "bacterial SSU rRNA". It matches the Rfam family "Bacterial small subunit ribosomal RNA", at positions 34 to 483 of the family's 1533-position model. Lineage: Bacteria; Pseudomonadati; Pseudomonadota; Gammaproteobacteria; Lysobacterales; Lysobacteraceae. The record is from RNAcentral.
CGCUGGCGGUAGGCCUAACACAUGCAAGUCGAACGGCAGCACAGGAGAGCUUGCUCUCUGGGUGGCGAGUGGCGGACGGGUGAGGAAUACAUCGGAAUCUACUUUUUCGUGGGGGAUAACGUAGGGAAACUUACGCUAAUACCGCAUACGACCUACGGGUGAAAGCAGGGGAUCUUCGGACCUUGCGCGAUUGAAUGAGCCGAUGUCGGAUUAGCUAGUUGGCGGGGUAAAGGCCCACCAAGGCGACGAUCCGUAGCUGGUCUGAGAGGAUGAUCAGCCACACUGGAACUGAGACACGGUCCAGACUCCUACGGGAGGCAGCAGUGGGGAAUAUUGGACAAUGGGCGCAAGCCUGAUCCAGCCAUACCGCGUGGGUGAAGAAGGCCUUCCGGGUUGUAAAGCCCUUUUGUUGGGAAAGAAAUCCAGCUGGCUAAUACCCGGUGGGAUGACGGUACCCAAA